CGAACGCUGGCGGCGUGCUUACCACAUGCCAGUCGCACGGCAAGGCCCUGCUUUUGUGGGGUGCUCGAGUGGCGAACGGGUGAGUAACACGUGAGUAACCUGCCCUUGACUUUGGGAUAACUUCAGGAAACUGGGGCUAAUACCGGAUAGGAGCUCCUGCUGCAUGGUGGGGGUUGGAAAGUUUCGGCGGUUGGGGAUGGACUCGCGGCUUAUCAGCUUGUUGGUGGGGUAGUGGCUUACCAAGGCUUUGACGGGUAGCCGGCCUGAGAGGGUGACCGGCCACAUUGGGACUGAGAUACGGCCCAGACUCCUACGGGAGGCAGCAGUGGGGAAUAUUGCACAAUGGGCGGAAGCCUGAUGCAGCAACGCCGCGUGCGGGAUGACGGCCUUCGGGUUGUAAACCGCUUUCGCCUGUGACGAAGCGUGAGUGACGGUAAUGGGUAAAGAAGCACCGGCUAACUACGUG
Molecule: ribosomal RNA, 466 nt
Filed under: uncultured bacterium
Lineage: Bacteria
Description: partial 16S ribosomal RNA
Rfam family: Bacterial small subunit ribosomal RNA
Source: RNAcentral